AGAGUUUGAUCCUGGCUCAGGAUGAACGCUGGCGGCGUGCUUAACACAUGCAAGUCGAACGAUGAAGGGAGCUUGCUCCUGGAUUAGUGGCGAACGGGUGAGUAACACGUGAGUAACCUGCCCUUAACUCUGGGAUAAGCCUGGGAAACUGGGUCUAAUACCGGAUAUGACUGAUCAUCGCAUGGUGGUUGGUGGAAAGCUUUUUGUGGUUUUGGAUGGACUCGCGGCCUAUCAGCUUGUUGGUGAGGUAAUGGCUCACCAAGGCGACGACGGGUAGCCGGCCUGAGAGGGUGACCGGCCACACUGGGACUGAGACACGGCCCAGACUCCUACGGGAGGCAGCAGUGGGGAAUAUUGCACAAUGGGCGCAAGCCUGAUGCAGCGACGCCGCGUGAGGGAUGACGGCCUUCGGGUUGUAAACCUCUUUCAGUAGGGAAGAAGCGAAAGUGACGGUACCUGCAGAAGAAGCGCCGGCUAACUACGUGCCAGCAGCCGCGGUAAUACGUAGGGCGCAAGCGUUAUCCGGAAUUAUUGGGCGUAAAGAGCUCGUAGGCGGUUUGUCGCGUCUGCCGUGAAAGUCCGGGGCUCAACUCCGGAUCUGCGGUGGGUACGGGCAGACUAGAGUGAUGUAGGGGAGACUGGAAUUCCUGGUGUAGCGGUGAAAUGCGCAGAUAUCAGGAGGAACACCGAUGGCGAAGGCAGGUCUCUGGGCAUUAACUGACGCUGAGGAGCGAAAGCAUGGGGAGCGAACAGGAUUAGAUACCCUGGUAGUCCAUGCCGUAAACGUUGGGCACUAGGUGUGGGGGACAUUCCACGUUUUCCGCGCCGUAGCUAACGCAUUAAGUGCCCCGCCUGGGAG
Molecule: ribosomal RNA, 859 nt
Filed under: uncultured bacterium
Lineage: Bacteria
Description: bacterial SSU rRNA
Rfam family: Bacterial small subunit ribosomal RNA
Source: RNAcentral